UCUCUCUCCCCUUCCCCCAACUUGGUGUUUCUUCCAGCUCAGCCUCCUUCUCAUUCCAUCUCUACGUGCCCAGAGCUUCAAAUACAACCCUCCCCUCACAGUCAGACGGGCACAAAACUUCAACCAGCCGUUUCUCUGCUUGGAAGCGGUGAGAAUGUAAUCUGGACGGAAUCCCAAAUUAACAGAGGCUUCCUCUGUGUGCUGGGAGGAUGCCAGGCAAGCUUCCCAGCCUGGAACUGGAAGAUAAUAGUAAUUAAUGGAGCCGGUUUGUGUGAGGAGCCUCAGCCUGUGAGGCAAGUGGAAUAGCUCUGGCUCCCAGAGCCCCUGAUCUUGAUGGUGGGGUGGAUCUCAGCUUAAGUCCAUACCACCUACUGUGAUGUCCACCUAAGCCACAGGAAGCCUGUGAGUCCUUGCCACACCAGGCAUCGGGCACCCUCCUCUCUGCCCUGCCAUCUCCACUGUUGCUUUCUCCAUGCACCAUGGGGUUGUGAGAACUUGGUGGCGCAGGGCGCAUUGCAGGCUUCAUGGCUGGGAGUGGCUGGAGAUAUCUCCUGGUGUCUGACCU
Long non-coding RNA from Cebus imitator (Panamanian white-faced capuchin), 565 nucleotides. RefSeq lists it as uncharacterized. The transcript has 3 exons. NCBI's taxonomy places the organism in Eukaryota, Metazoa, Chordata, Mammalia, Primates, Cebidae. The record is from RefSeq and is a predicted model, not a curated record.